RNAcentral lists this unclassified non-coding RNA (320 nucleotides) under plant metagenome. RNAcentral's name for it is "partial contains 5.8S ribosomal RNA, internal transcribed spacer 2, and large subunit ribosomal RNA". The stretch from base 1 to 105 matches the Rfam family "5.8S ribosomal RNA", at positions 50 to 154 of the family's 154-position model. The record is from RNAcentral.
GAAAUGCGAUAAGUAAUGUGAAUUGCAGAAUUCAGUGAAUCAUCGAAUCUUUGAACGCACAUUGCGCCCGCCAGUAUUCUGGCGGGCAUGCCUGUUCGAGCGUCAUUACAACCCUCAGGCCCCCGGGCCUGGCGUUGGGGAUCGGCGGAAGCCCCCUGCGGGCACAACGCCGUCCCCCAAAUACAGUGGCGGCCCCGCCGCAGCUUCCAUUGCGUAGUAGCUAACACCUCGCAACUGGAGAGCGGCGCGGCCACGCCGUAAAACACCCAACUUCUGAAUGUUGACCUCGAAUCAGGUAGGAAUACCCGCUGAACUUAAGC